This 457-nucleotide ribosomal RNA is filed under the name Streptococcus mitis. RNAcentral's name for it is "bacterial SSU rRNA". It matches the Rfam family "Bacterial small subunit ribosomal RNA", at positions 28 to 471 of the family's 1533-position model. Lineage: Bacteria; Bacillati; Bacillota; Bacilli; Lactobacillales; Streptococcaceae. The record is from RNAcentral.
GACGAACGCUGGCGGCGUGCCUAAUACAUGCAAGUAGAACGCUGAAGGAGAAGCUUGCUUCUCCGGAUGAGUUGCGAACGGGUGAGUAACGCGUAGGUAACCUGCCUGGUAGCGGGGGAUAACUAUUGGAAACGAUAGCUAAUACCGCAUAAGAGUAGAUGUUGCAUGACAUUUGCUUAAAAGGUGCAAUUGCAUCACUACCAGAUGGACCUGCGUUGUAUUAGCUAGUUGGUGAGGUAACGGCUCACCAAGGCAACGAUACAUAGCCGACCUGAGAGGGUGAUCGGCCACACUGGGACUGAGACACGGCCCAGACUCCUACGGGAGGCAGCAGUAGGGAAUCUUCGGCAAUGGACGGAAGUCUGACCGAGCAACGCCGCGUGAGUGAAGAAGGUUUUCGGAUCGUAAAGCUCUGUUGUAAGAGAAGAACGAGUGUGAGAGUGGAAAGUUCACACUG